GAUGAAGAACGUAGCGAAAUGCGAUAAGUAGUGUGAAUUGCAGAAUUCAGUGAAUCAUCGAAUCUUUGAACGCACAUUGCGCCCCUUGGUAUUCCAUGGGGCAUGCCUGUUCGAGCGUCAUUUGUACCUUCAAGCUCUGCUUGGUGUUGGGUGUUUGUCUCGCCUCUGCGUGUAGACUCGCCUCAAAACAAUUGGCAGCCGGCGUAUUGAUUUCGGAGCGCAGUACAUCUCGCGCUUUGCACUCAUAACGACGACGUCCAAAAGUACAUUUUUACACUCUUGACCUCGGAUCAGGUAGGGAUACCCGUUGAACUUAAGCAUAUCAAUAAGCGGAGGA
This 337-nucleotide unclassified non-coding RNA is filed under the name soil metagenome. RNAcentral describes it as "partial contains 5.8S ribosomal RNA, internal transcribed spacer 2, and large subunit ribosomal RNA". The stretch from base 1 to 120 matches the Rfam family "5.8S ribosomal RNA", at positions 35 to 154 of the family's 154-position model. The record is from RNAcentral.